GAUGAACGCUGGCGGCGUGCCUAAUACAUGCAAGUCGAGCGAACAGACGAGGAGCUUGCUCCUCUGACGUUAGCGGCGGACGGGUGAGUAACACGUGGAUAACCUACCUAUAAGACUGGGAUAACUUCGGGAAACCGGAGCUAAUACCGGAUAAUAUAUUGAACCGCAUGGUUCAAUAUUGAAAGACGGUUUUGCUGUCACUUAUAGAGGGAUCCGCGCCGCAUUAGCUAGUUGGUAAGGUAACGGCUUACCAAGGCAACGAUGCGUAGCCGACCUGAGAGGGUGAUCGGCCACACUGGAACUGAGACACGGUCCAGACUCCUACGGGAGGCAGCAGUAGGGAAUCUUCCGCAAUGGGCGAAAGCCUGACGGAGCAACGCCGCGUGAGUGAUGAAGGUCUUCGGAUCGUAAAACUCUGUUAUUAGGGAAGAACAAAUGUGUAAGUAACUAUGCACGUCUUGACGGUACCUAAUCAGAAAGCCACGGCUAACUACGUG
RNAcentral lists this ribosomal RNA (497 nucleotides) under uncultured bacterium. RNAcentral describes it as "partial 16S ribosomal RNA". It matches the Rfam family "Bacterial small subunit ribosomal RNA", at positions 28 to 507 of the family's 1533-position model. The record is from RNAcentral.